Molecule: ribosomal RNA, 433 nt
Filed under: uncultured bacterium
Lineage: Bacteria
Description: partial 16S ribosomal RNA
Rfam family: Bacterial small subunit ribosomal RNA
Source: RNAcentral
AACGAACGCUGGCGGCAGGCCUAACACAUGCAAGUCGAGCGAGGACUUCGGUUCUAGCGGCGGACGGGUGAGUAACGCGUGGGAAUGUGCCCUUCUCUACGGAAUAGCCCUGGGAAACUGGGAGUAAUACCGUAUACGCCCUAUUGGGGAAAGAUUUAUCGGAGAAGGAUCAGCCCGCGUUGGAUUAGGUAGUUGGUGGGGUAAUGGCCUACCAAGCCGACGAUCCAUAGCUGGUUUGAGAGGAUGAUCAGCCACACUGGGACUGAGACACGGCCCAGACUCCUGCGGGAGGCAGCAGUGGGGAAUCUUAGACAAUGGGGGAAACCCUGAUCGAGCCAUGCCGCGUGAGUGAUGAAGGCCUUAGGGUUGGAAAGCUCUUUCAGCUGGGAAGAUAAUGACGGUACCAGCAGAAGAAGCCCCGGCUAACUCCGUG